UGAAAACGAAAACAAACAUAAGAAAACACAAAAGGAAAAAAUGCAGAAAAUAAACUAAAUAAAAAAAAUGGAGAUAAAAGAAAAUGAAAAUGAAUGAAACAAAUCAGAGAAGAAAGGAAACAGAAUGAAAAAAUCAGAGAAGAAAAAGAUAUGAAACAAAAGAAAAAGAAAACAAAAUAAAAACUGAAGGAAGAACAAAAAACCAAAGAAAUAAAAA
This 217-nucleotide long non-coding RNA is filed under the name Hordeum vulgare. RNAcentral describes it as "long non-coding RNA (HVUL_LNC000388)". Lineage: Eukaryota; Viridiplantae; Streptophyta; Magnoliopsida; Poales; Poaceae. The record is from RNAcentral.